This 340-nucleotide long non-coding RNA is filed under the name Mus caroli (Ryukyu mouse). RNAcentral describes it as "predicted gene 15123 (MGP_CAROLIEiJ_G0002525.1)". The record is from RNAcentral. Lineage: Eukaryota; Metazoa; Chordata; Mammalia; Rodentia; Muridae.
AGAGGAGGGCAGACUGCUGAGCCGCGUCCUUCUGUAGCUGAUCUCUGACUGUUCCAACCAAGCAGAAACAUCCGUGACCCAGGCCUGGUCGCACAUGCCUGCAAGCUGGAUGCACAGUAAUUGCCACAAGUUCAAGAUCAGCCAAGGACUCCCAGGCCAAGCAGGUCUAUACACUGAGACCCCGCUUCAGCGAGUCAAGGAAAUCAAGCCAAAAGUGUGGCAGUACACACCUCCCAAUGCUCACUCCAGCACCUGAUCCAGGAGGAUCACAUGUUCCAGGCUUGAACUACAAAGCAAAACCCUGUCUCAGACAUUAAAAAGGAAAACGGAAGUGAGGCUG